CAGUAGCCGCGGUAAGACAGAGGGUGCAAACGUUGUUCGGAAUUACUGGGCGUAAAGCGUGUGUAGGCGGCUUCGCAAGUCGGAUGUGAAAGCCCCGGGCUCAACCCGGGAAGUGCACUCGAUACUGCGGAGCUAGAGUGUCGGAGAGGUUGGUGGAAUUCUCGGUGUAGAGGUGAAAUUCGUAGAUAUCGAGAGGAACACCGGUGGCGAAGGCGGCCAACUGGACGAACACUGACGCUGAGACACGAAAGCGUGGGGAGCAAACAGGAUUAGAUACCCCUGUAGUCCCUGUCUCUUAUAA
RNAcentral lists this ribosomal RNA (301 nucleotides) under uncultured bacterium. RNAcentral describes it as "partial 16S ribosomal RNA". It matches the Rfam family "Bacterial small subunit ribosomal RNA", at positions 509 to 809 of the family's 1533-position model. The record is from RNAcentral.